AGUGAACGCUGGCGGUAGGCCUAACACAUGCAAGUCGAACGGCAGCACAGUAAGAGCUUGCUCUUACGGGUGGCGAGUGGCGGACGGGUGAGGAAUACAUCGGAAUCUACUUUUUCGUGGGGGAUAACGUAGGGAAACUUACGCUAAUACCGCAUACGACCUACGGGUGAAAGCAGGGGAUCUUCGGACCUUGCGCGAUUGAAUGAGCCGAUGUCGGAUUAGCUAGUUGGCGGGGUAAAGGCCCACCAAGGCGACGAUCCGUAGCUGGUCUGAGAGGAUGAUCAGCCACACUGGAACUGAGACACGGUCCAGACUCCUACGGGAGGCAGCAGUGGGGAAAUAUUGGACAAUGGGCGCAAGCCUGAUCCAGCCAUACCGCGUGGGUGAAGAAGGCCUUCGGGUUGUAAAGCCCUUUUGUUGGGAAAGAAAAGCAGCAGGUUAAUACCCCGCUGUUCUGACGGUACCCAAAGAAUAAGCACCGGCUAACUUCGUG
RNAcentral lists this ribosomal RNA (493 nucleotides) under uncultured bacterium. Its description in RNAcentral is "partial 16S ribosomal RNA". It matches the Rfam family "Bacterial small subunit ribosomal RNA", at positions 29 to 507 of the family's 1533-position model. The record is from RNAcentral.